Pomacea canaliculata is the source of this 531-nucleotide long non-coding RNA. RefSeq lists it as uncharacterized. The record is from RefSeq and is a predicted model, not a curated record. Lineage: Eukaryota; Metazoa; Mollusca; Gastropoda; Architaenioglossa; Ampullariidae. The transcript is spliced from 3 exons.
GCGUCACAGAGGAAUAUAAAGAAGAGUGGAAACGUCACGCAUUCUUGAUAAUAUACUGACUGUGACAUCUACCACUGUUUUCAUCGUCAUCAUCCUCCCUGCCUCACACGUUUGUAACGGACCAGACUGCUGACAUACUCGGUGUGCAGACUGCGAGUAAUCUCUCUUUAAAUGAUGAAGUGCCUGCUGUUGGUCCUCGUGGUGGUGGCUGUGGUGUGGACCGUCUCCGCGCAACAUUGCAUAGAAGAAUACGAAGAAUGUGUGGUGGAUGCCCAUGUCAACGUUCCAUGUUGUUCCGGGCUGACAUGCGGCUUACUUGUCCAACAUCAUGGGUCUUCGAAGAAAUACGGAAGAUGUGUACAUUAAGACAGAAAGUAGAAGAUGUGGCAGCGACGUUGUCAUCUCCUCUACACAUCCUGCAGCUAAUGAUGAUCUUAUCAUCGUAGACAAAAGUGCUUAAAGAUAAAGAGCAGAUCAAUAAAAUUUUGCUGAACCAGAAACUAUCUGAAAAAUAAAGGAUAUUUGAACGAU